AGGGUACUAGUUAAACAACAACCUUAGUUUGUCAAACUAAAACUACGCUGGCGUACUUUG
This 60-nucleotide transfer RNA is filed under the name Macrohectopus branickii. Its description in RNAcentral is "tRNA-Asp". Lineage: Eukaryota; Metazoa; Arthropoda; Malacostraca; Amphipoda; Macrohectopidae. The record is from RNAcentral.